AACAGGAUUAGAUACCCUGGUAGUCCACGCCGUAAACGAUGUCGACUUGGAGGCUGUUCCCUUGAGGAGUGGCUUCCGGAGCUAACGCGUUAAGUCGACCGCCUGGGGAGUACGGCCGCAAGGUUAAAACUCAAAUGAAUUGACGGGGGCCCGCACAAGCGGUGGAGCAUGUGGUUUAAUUCGAUGCAACGCGAAGAACCUUACCUACUCUUGACAUCCAGAGAAUUUAGCAGAGAUGCUUUAGUGCCUUCGGGAACUCUGAGACAGGUGCUGCAUGGCUGUCGUCAGCUCGUGUUGUGAAAUGUUGGGUUAAGUCCCGCAACGAGCGCAACCCUUAUCCUUUGUUGCCAGCGCGUAAUGGCGGGAACUCAAAGGAGACUGCCGGUGAUAAACCGGAGGAAGGUGGGGAUGACGUCAAGUCAUCAUGGCCCUUACGAGUAGGGCUACACACGUGCUACAAUGGCGCAUACAAAGAGAAGCGACCUCGCGAGAGCAAGCGGACCUCAUAAAGUGCGUCGUAGUCCGGAUUGGAGUCUGCAACUCGACUCCAUGAAGUCGGAAUCGCUAGUAAUCGUAAAUCAGAAUGUUACGGUGAAUACGUUCCCGGGCCUUGUACACACCGCCCGUCACACCAUGGGAGUGGGUUGCAAAAGAAGUAGAUAGCUUACCCUUCGGGAGGGCGUUUACCACUUUGUGAUUCAUGACUGGGGUGAAGUCGUAACAAGGUAACCGUAGGGGACCUGCGGCUGGAUCACCUCCUU
RNAcentral lists this ribosomal RNA (761 nucleotides) under uncultured bacterium. Its description in RNAcentral is "bacterial SSU rRNA". It matches the Rfam family "Bacterial small subunit ribosomal RNA", at positions 771 to 1532 of the family's 1533-position model. The record is from RNAcentral.